Molecule: ribosomal RNA, 511 nt
Filed under: uncultured bacterium
Lineage: Bacteria
Description: partial 16S ribosomal RNA
Rfam family: Bacterial small subunit ribosomal RNA
Source: RNAcentral
GACGAACGCUGGCGGCGUGCCUAAUACAUGCAAGUAGAACGCUGAAGGAGGAGCUUACUUCUCUGGAUGAGUUGCGAACGGGUGAGUAACGCGUAGGUAACCUGCCUGGUAGCGGGGGAUAACUAUUGGAAACGAUAGCUAAUACCGCAUAAGAGUAGAUGUUGCAUGACAUUUACUUAAAAGGUGCAAUUGCACCACUACCAGAUGGACCUGCGUUGUAGUAGCUAGUUGGUGGGGUAACGGCUUACCAAGGCGACGAUACAUAGCCGACCUGGGCGGGUGAUCGGCCAAACUGGGACUGAGACGCGGCACAGACUCCUACGGGAGGCAGCAGGAGGGAAUCUGCGGCAAUGGACGGAAGUCUGACCGAGCAACGCCGCGUGAGUGAAGAAGGUUUUCGGAUCGUAAAGCUCUGUUGUAAGAGAAGAACGAGUGUGAGAGUGGAAAGUUCACACUGUGACGGUAUCUUACCAGAAAGGGACGGCUAACUACGUGCCAGCCGCCGCAGUAA